AAGCAGCAGUAUGCAAUGGUG
Molecule: microRNA, 21 nt
Filed under: Branchiostoma floridae (Florida lancelet)
Lineage: Eukaryota; Metazoa; Chordata; Leptocardii; Amphioxiformes; Branchiostomatidae
Also listed under: 2 other names
Description: bfl-miR-2067
Source: miRBase by way of RNAcentral